GAUGAACGCUAGCGGGAGGCCUAACACAUGCAAGCCGAGCGGUAUAGAAUCUUCGGAUUUUAGAGAGCGGCGUACGGGUGCGGAACACGUGUGCAACCUACCUUUAUCUUGGGGAUAGCCUUUCGAAAGGAAGAUUAAAUACCCCGAUAAUAUAUAAUAUGGCAUCAUAACAUAUUGAAAGCUCCGGCGGAUAGAGAUGGGCACGCGCAAGAUUAGUUAGUUGGUGAGGUAACGGCUCACCAAGACGAUGAUCUUUAGGGGCCUGAGAGGUGAUCCCCCACACUGGUACUGAGACACGGACCAGACUCCUACGGGAGGCAGCAGUGAGGAAUAUUGGGACAAAUGGGUGCAAGCCUGAUCCAGCCAUCCCGCGUGAAGGACGACUG
This 386-nucleotide ribosomal RNA is filed under the name uncultured bacterium. RNAcentral's name for it is "bacterial SSU rRNA". It matches the Rfam family "Bacterial small subunit ribosomal RNA", at positions 28 to 414 of the family's 1533-position model. The record is from RNAcentral.